UUUUGAGAGAUCUUAUAAAUAACUGGUGUGAUAUCGUAUCUGUCAUCUGGCAGCACUGGCAUAUGUUGACAACAAAAUUCAAACUACAUAAUAUAAGCAAACCAACUUCGUCUCUCGCUAAUCGCUUCACAUCCGUUGACCGUUAUUUUCGAUUACCUGAAUCUUCUACCUUUUAUUACCUGACGACCUUGCUUGCUCAACGGAUUUUGUACCUGCUUAAACGACUGACCACGGCUAUUCUCACUCGGACCGGACUCGCUCACAAAAAAUGGAUAAAAAAAAACAGAAGCCUUACUCGGAAUAUGAGAGGCAACUGCUUGUACAGUUGGUUCAGUCAAAGAUUGGCAUUCUAGAGAACAGGAAGACGGACGCCGUUUCCCAAAAAAAGAAACACGAGGCUUGGGAAGAAUUAGCAAUAGAAUUUAAUAACUCUAACGUGUCACAUACUUACAAUUUUUUUUCGAUUUUAGGCUGAUUCUAAACAAUUAAAAAAGAUGUGGCAAAAUAUGAAGGCAAAAGCUAGGGAUGCCAAAACCCUUGAAGCCCAAAGGAAGAGGACAGGAGGAGGACCAGCACCGCCUGAAAUGGGGCCAAUGGACACUCAAGUGAUUGCAGUCAUGCCACAAAUAAUGCCAUCAAUAGAUGUGCCAAUAGACUGUGACACAUUAACUACAGUAGAAGCUGGUACUGGUUAUGACAACGACGGUGAAAGCUGGAGACCAAAGAGGGCAAGAGUGUCCAGUAUAGAGGCCACACUUGAAUCUGUAAUUCAGCCGGGAACAAGCCAGGACUGGACUGAUGAAGCUGGGUCACUAAAAGUGAACCCUCUCAGCUAUCAGCUACACCAUCAGCGAUCAGAAAAAAUAAAACUUCAUUUGAGGAUAUUAAAAAAAAAUUGCUGUGGCAAGAGUUAGACAACAACAAAAAAAAAUUUGAGAUAGAAGUGGAACACAUGAAACUAAAAAAUCAGUUAGAAAUCGAAUUUCUUCGACAUAAAUAUAAAUUAGAACUAGAAAUUUUACAGUUUAAAAAAGAAUCUGAAAAUAAAUGAUUAAAAUGAAACAA
This is an RNA transcript of Pieris napi, 1065 nucleotides long. It is a transcript of the gene named myb/SANT-like DNA-binding domain-containing protein 3, with no coding region annotated. The transcript is spliced from 3 exons. The record is from RefSeq and is a predicted model, not a curated record. Lineage: Eukaryota; Metazoa; Arthropoda; Insecta; Lepidoptera; Pieridae.